Molecule: long non-coding RNA, 330 nt
Organism: Vicia villosa (hairy vetch)
Lineage: Eukaryota; Viridiplantae; Streptophyta; Magnoliopsida; Fabales; Fabaceae
Exons: 3
Source: RefSeq, a predicted model, not a curated record
GUAUCGCCUACCGGAGCCGAUCACUCCGGCGGUGGAUGCGACGGCAAUUCGAAAAGGCCAAAGAACUGAGAAGCUUGAAUCGAUUGUAGAAGAUGAUGAUGAUUGAUGAACUUGCAGAAGAUUGAUUCGAUGAAGGCGAUUUGGUGCCGAUGAUGAUUGAACGGAGUCUUUAAUGAUUGCUGAGUUGAAUUAGUGAAUAUGCGUUGAAGAAGGAGUUACGGCGAUUGACGAUAGUGAAACGUGGAGGAGCAGAUCGAGAAGAUGAUGAAGUUUUGGAGAGGUGAAUCAAUGAAGAUGAUGAAGAGAGGUUGAAGAUUGGUGAAGUUGAUG